AGUGAACGCUGGCGGUAGGCCUAACACAUGCAAGUCGAACGGCAGCACAGUAAGAGCUUGCUCUUACGGGUGGCGAGUGGCGGACGGGUGAGGAAUACAUCGGAAUCUACUUUUUCGUGGGGGAUAACGUAGGGAAACUUACGCUAAUACCGCAUACGACCUACGGGUGAAAGCAGGGGAUCUUCGGACCUUGCGCGAUUGAAUGAGCCGAUGUCGGAUUAGCUAGUUGGCGGGGUAAAGGCCCACCAAGGCGACGAUCCGUAGUUGGUCUGAGAGGAUGAUCAGCCACACUGGAACUGAGACACGGUCCAGACUCCUACGGAAGGCAGCAGUGGGGAAUAUUGGACAAUGGGCGCAAGCCUGAUCCAGCCAUACCGCGUGGGUGAAGAAGGCCUUCGGGUUGUAAAGCCCUUUUGUUGGGAAAGAAAAGCAGCAGGUUAAUACCCCGCUGUUCUGACGGUACCCAAAGAAUAAGCACCGGCUAACUUCGUG
RNAcentral lists this ribosomal RNA (492 nucleotides) under uncultured bacterium. RNAcentral describes it as "partial 16S ribosomal RNA". It matches the Rfam family "Bacterial small subunit ribosomal RNA", at positions 29 to 507 of the family's 1533-position model. The record is from RNAcentral.